GACGAACGCUGGCGGCGUGCUUAACACAUGCAAGUCGAGCGGAAAGGCCCUUCGGGGUACUCGAGCGGCGAACGGGUGAGUAACACGUGAGUAACCUGCCCUAGACUUUGGGAUAACCCUCGGAAACGGGGGCUAAUACCGGAUACUCCUUCUAAAGCGCAUGAUUUGGUGGGGAAAGUUUUUCGGUCUGGGAUGGACUCGCGGCCUAUCAGCUUGUUGGUGGGGUAAUGGCCUACCAAGGCGAGGACGGGUAGCCGGCCUGAGAGGGCGACCGGCCACACUGGGACUGAGACACGGCCCAGACUCCUACGGGAGGCAGCAGUGGGGAAUAUUGCACAAUGGGCGGAAGCCUGAUGCAGCGACGCCGCGUGAGGGAUGACGGCCUUCGGGUUGUAAACCUCUUUCAGCAGGGACGAAGCGUAAGUGACGGUACCUGCAGAAGAAGCGCCGGCCAACUACGUG
This 462-nucleotide ribosomal RNA is filed under the name uncultured bacterium. RNAcentral describes it as "partial 16S ribosomal RNA". It matches the Rfam family "Bacterial small subunit ribosomal RNA", at positions 28 to 507 of the family's 1533-position model. The record is from RNAcentral.